This 1042-nucleotide long non-coding RNA is filed under the name Drosophila melanogaster (fruit fly). Its description in RNAcentral is "long non-coding RNA:CR45283". Lineage: Eukaryota; Metazoa; Arthropoda; Insecta; Diptera; Drosophilidae. The record is from RNAcentral.
AGCAUAAAUUGUGUUAUUGUAACUAAAAAGGAAAACCGAUGCAAACGGGAAAACUGGUCGAUCUUUGAUGUGAUUAGAGAUGGUUGGGCGGAAAUGGUUAGCUUUGACCAUGUUGGACUUGGCCACGAUUGGCAAUAAAUUCUUCAAUAUUUGAGUAAAUUGACAACGGGAAAUAUGUUCGUAUAAGAUAUCUUAUUAUGGCGAAAAGUAUCCCAUAUACAUACAUAUCCCCUGUCAAAUUAUACUUACAUUAAUCCAGUUUACAUUGCCGCGGUGCAACAUAUGAUCUUUAAAUCAAGUCAAAAAUUAUGAUAUGAUCCCCCUUGAGAUCAUUAUUUAAUCACAGUUUUAUGAACGGCUUUUCCAAAAAUAGCACGGAUCUCCCAUGAAUUCAACUCCCAACAGCAACUCCCCGGCACAUUUGCCAAAUCAAUAUGCAAUAUCCCACAAGUAAAGGAUUUCAAACUCUCACUCGAAUCUACACACACACACGCUCAGUGGGCAAUCAUAUCGAUGGGGGGAAAACUGAACCGCCUGUCAUAAAAGCCGCACACACAAAAAUACGAGUAGUUGGCUGCAUCAAGAGGGAACUGUGGCAUGAAAAGCACAAAAACUAGGUUAGUUGCCGAGAUUUUUUACCUUCGCUAACAUGACCCCUCCUCCUCCUUCCCUUUCCUUCCAGCCAACAAACCCCCUAGAAAAAUAACAAUUGCACCCCGUAACCCCUGAUCUCUGGCACUGCCACUCGCCGUCCCAAAGCCAUCCGUUCAUGUCUCUGCCAAUGCAUUUCAAAACAGGAGCUGCAGGAGCAGCGAAUCGAGAAAGGCGUUCGGCCAUGCCCCUCCGCCGCCCCCACCAUAUCUGUCAAGUGAACUGGAAGUGAUAAGGAUAUAUAGGGGUCGGUAUGGUGGAGCUAGCUAUGGACGAAGGAAGAACGCUGAGCGUGUUCACGUGCAAAAUUGCAGCGAUUCCCCAGCGAGUUUCGAUUUCUCCUUCAAAAUCGAAUUCACUUUGCUGAGUACACUGAGAGGAAAUCAUGAAC